Molecule: long non-coding RNA, 1467 nt
Organism: Magnolia sinica
Lineage: Eukaryota; Viridiplantae; Streptophyta; Magnoliopsida; Magnoliales; Magnoliaceae
Exons: 3
Source: RefSeq, a predicted model, not a curated record
AUCUUUGGAUUUGUCUUAUUUUUCGGCCCUCCAAGUGGAGAGACGGUUUGGAUAUAACACAUACCUCAUAUGGGACCCACAGAACACACCAGCAACAUCGGUGGUGUGUGGUAAAUGUGCCAAUUUGGACAUGAUUUGGCUAGUGAUGCGAGAAGCCAGGUGUCCAGUGGUUGGUGCUCUGUGGGCCCCACCAAGAUCUAUGCAUUUUACUUGCACCAUCUUUCAAUUUUUGCACAUCAUUUUAAUACUAUAUCACAUAAACGAGGUAGAUCAAAAUCUCAGGUGGACCACACAGUCGGAAACAGUAGAUAUUAAAUCACACGUGAUACCUAUGGUGUGGUCCACUUGAGCCUUCAAUAUACUUCAUUUUUAGGAUCAUUCACUGAAUGUAUUUAUAAAAAUAAAUGGAUGGAAUGGAUAAACCAUAUGCAUCAUUGGGUGCCCCACGUAGGCACCCAAUCCGCGCCCAAAAUAAUUGAGCGCGCGCUCAAAAUAGAGCCGCGCGCCCAAAAAUACAUACGGCCUCCUCUCUCUCUCUCUCCCCGUCCAAAACCGACUCUCCCUCUUUACGCCCAAAACCCUCUCCCUCCUUCCCUCCCUCCCUCCCUCUCUCUCAACCAUCCCAUUUUCAAAGCCCUAGCAUUUUCUCUCUCUCUCGCCAUCUCAACGGACUUGGAAAGGUAAAGAAGGGCCUGCACAAGCCCAUGAGUAGGGGCUGGUUAUGGUUUAAUCAUCAAGGGAUACACCCUCAAUGGUGUUCUUUUGGGGCUAGCAAGAGGAUUGUCAUCCCUUGGAAGGUACUUGAUGCCUUUGCAGAAAUCCUUGACCUUCUCAAUUUCUUAAUACAGAUUGUUUAACGGUUAAGGUCUGAGGAAAGGCAACUCCUUGGAUGUCAAUUUUCCCUAAUUUCCCACAUCUGGCAACCUCAUUUUAAUAUGGUGGUCUAAAUACCUAUUUAUGACUAGUGGUGAUAUGAUUCGGCUGAAUAAUGUAUCCUACUUAGCAUUUUUGUCUUUCAUUUAAGUGCUAACAGGCCACAUUAACUCCCAAGCUACUUGUGAAUGUGAUGGCACUGAUCAUUUGGCUGCUGGCUUGUGUUACAGUUCAUGAUAAGAAAGAGUAUGUUGUUAAUGCUUCUGCUUGUGGCAACAUAUUCACUCGGCAUAGAUUUGAAGCCUCUUCAAAUUCCAGCUCUUCCAGGAUCACCAAUAUAUGUGCCCCAAUUUUUAACUAUAUCCCAUUUCAUUAGGUGCAUUUUAUACAUUCUGCAAUGCAACAUGCUGAUAUUGACAGUGUUAUGACAUGACUAACUCUAUACUAUAGAUAAGUUGCAGGCUGAUAUUUGCCCUUCUACUUGUCUGACUUUAGAACUGAUAGUAAGCGGGAACUAUUGGUCAUAGGUCAGUGAGUAAUAUCAUGCCGUAUGAGAUAUCUACAAAGUUAGUAAUAUCCCUUGGCAUGUGCUGU